RNA transcript from Galleria mellonella (greater wax moth), 3049 nucleotides. RefSeq lists it as uncharacterized. The record is from RefSeq and is a predicted model, not a curated record. NCBI's taxonomy places the organism in Eukaryota, Metazoa, Arthropoda, Insecta, Lepidoptera, Pyralidae. The transcript has 5 exons.
UAUGUCAAUUAUAUCACUCAGAAUCAUAUGUUUAUUUUUUUUUAUAAUAAUGUUUUUUCGUAAGAGAACAAUUAUGAAUAACGGUGAUAGUGACAAUUAUGAAUGUGAUAGUUACUGAAUUAGUUAAAUUAUUACAACUGUUUAAUAAUAUAUGUGUAAAAUCGGUGUUGCAGCGCAGUUGUAAUAGAUUCAUGAUAAUGUUGUUGUAAUGUAAGAACCAGAGCCCAGAGUUCAUAGGUGUAAACAAAAUGUGAAUAUGAGUCAUUAAUGUUUUAAACAGCAAUCAGUAUGUACGUAUAGCGUUCUUAAUCAGGUGCUCUGAUCUAAUUUUAUAGUUUUUGAUGAAAAGUAUUAUCAGAUGUGUGUGUGGGGAACUCUACAUAGGUACUUCCUGUACAACGCCGAUUUUAUUGUUACUUAAUCUUGUUAAUAACUGAAUGGUGAAGUUUUAUCAUCAUGGCAUAUGCAAACCAGCCGCCUGCACCCCAAACAAUGGGCUCUGCAAAUACAGUAUUUAUAAUGGAGGCGCGGUUUGAUUUAUCAUACCUGACGACUCCACCAGGCAUCAUUAAAUGUGUUAUCAUUGUGUUCAGCCUGAUCGGUUUCAUCUGCGUCCAAUCGUCAGCGUUUUGGUCGAAUGGACGAGGCGUGUACUUCAACUUGGUGGCCGCGCUGGCGGUGAUCUACUCUGGUGGGAUGCUUCUACUGUACCUGUACCACUUGGUGGAGAAAUACCACAAUAUCAAGUGGCUGAAGAUAGAAAUGAUCGUAUCGAUCGCCUUCGUGUUUCUCUACCUGAUUGCGUCCACCAUCGCCGUAGCGUUUGGAUCGGCGGCGUUCUCAGCGGCUGGGUUCUUCGGCUACUUGUCUAUGGUACUAUACGGGUUCGACGCAUUCCUAAAGGCGAAAGCGCUUAAAGCAGGCCAGUUGGCGCAAGGUCACCGCACGGUCAAUAAGCAGACUCAUGUGGUGACGCCGCCCGCGCUGCCAUAGCAGGACGCCGAUGGUCGGUGGUAGACGACGGUGACGGUGGACAGUGGACAGUGACCGUCGGUCGGCGGCUGUGCUAUACUCUAGGUGAAAUGGUAUGGUAGCCCCCCGCCUGCGCCAACGGGAUACGCUGGCGGAGCACCAGUGAAGGGUGAUAGAUGAGAAUGAAAACAGGCCAGUCAGCACAUCAUGAUGAAUUCAUCAGGAAUUAACCAUGAUAGUUUCCAGGGGGAACCGCGAGGAGGUCGACCUGGUUGGGUAUAUUGCUAGCAAUGGGAUUCUCAGUCUCCAUUACUAACAAUCCCUUUCCGCCCUUUUCUUCACAGUUUCAAACACUAUUUAUAAUUAUUUAUCAAGGCGUUUAUUUAGUGAAACUUAAAAAUCUAUUUAAUAAAUUAUCUUUGUGAUACUUGUAGUUUAUUAAGAAAAUAAUGUAAAUGUAAAUAUAUAUUUUAACCCAUUCAAUACGGCGGCCAUAUUGAGAUCCCUAUGCAGUAUACGGCUUAGUUUUUCAUAAACGGCCGUCACUGACGGCACAACUUUUUCUACGUAUAUGGCUUAGUUAAUUGUUAGGAGUGACUGCCAGUAAAUAACGGGCUUCCACAAGUGACUGGAACGGUCUAAAGCACGUUUGAAACUAAAGGAAACGGAGCGCUCGCCGUCAUUGGGUAAGGGUGGGGAGAGCGCCUCGAGGCGCUUGCCGUCACAACGUAUAACAUUGGACAGCGCCCUGACGCGCUCUCCGUAUUGAAUGGGUUAAGCUGCUAAGUAAAUAUUUAUUGGUAUCAAACCGUCCAUGCACUUUUUUUCUCACGUUGUGUCAAAUAUGAAGUAGUCGAGUGGAGUCCACUGCCUGUAAACACCGUGUUUCCCUUAUCAAAAGGUACUUACACAAUUAUAUUUCUAUUUGCACACUUAAUUUUGAAUUUAUUAAUACAUAUUUUCAUGGAAAAUACGUUAUUAUUAACUUGUAGAUAUAUGUGCCCUCAUGUUUACAUACAGCCGGGCUCGAAUCGUGCAUGAUAAAGCUGUAUCACACGGAUAUUGUGGCCUUGACCAAAUUUUAUGGAAAAAAUAAUCUUAUACGCAUAUAGGUACUAUAUUUGAUACAUUUAUAUCUUUUUUUUUUAUAAAAUACAUUUUCUCUAAUUGCUCAGCAGCCAGAUAAUGACAACUUUAAUGACAAAAUAAAUAUAUUUUUAAAAUGUACAAAAUUUGUAAGUUUGUAAAAUAAAACUCAAGAAUUGAGUAAUUUUCAAAUAAAUAAAUAAAACCGCUCAGGAAUUGUGCUGAAAGCUACAAAAUUGGUAUCUGCAAUUAAUAAAAUCUUGUAAUUUUGAUUAAUAUGGUUUAACGAGUUUUAACACAAACUUUUUAAUGGUAAACAAUUGCAAUGGAGAUAAAUCGAGAUAGUGGAUGCAUGUGGUCCAGGACUGUUCCUUAUGGCAGUCUAUGGGGAAAGCCAACCAGCAGUGGGCAGUAACAGCUGAUUUGACGAUGAAGCAACAGCAGUCGUUUCUGCGGUGUCAUUCAUUGCCUCUAAAACUAUCAGUUCGACGUUAUAGCAAAAUCAUUGAGAAGUAUCAGUAAACAGGAUUUAACUAAAACUUGUUUUAAUUUAGUUCCAGCACGGAUAAUACUGUUUUAUUAGCUCUAGACAAUUAGCAACUUUCGUUUAACUGGCAAAUUAAUAUUUCAGUUUUAGAGAUAAGUACAGGGAAUGACACCUCAUAGUCGACGCCAUUGCAAGGAUUUUAGCAAAAUUUUGUGUGUACGCUACCUAAAAAUGGCGGAUUAAUUGUGCUGCGAUAUUGUCUUAACGUAUUCGCUGACUUAUGCUCAGAGUUUAAUGCAAUUGUACAUAUAAUUUGGUAACUUCACAAUUUGUAUUAUUUCACUAUUUAGAACUGUAAGUGAUAAUAUUUAUGAAAUAUUUGAAGCGUCUUCAAAUGUCUUCGCAUCACAAUUGUGAUAUAUUUAUGUAUGAGUAAUGAAUUUUGAAAUUAAUGUUGUCCUUUCAAUGUUUAUUGUUGUUUACAAAUAAAACGCUUUAAUCGUG